Molecule: ribosomal RNA, 371 nt
Filed under: uncultured organism
Description: partial 16S ribosomal RNA
Rfam family: Bacterial small subunit ribosomal RNA
Source: RNAcentral
GUAGGUGGCAAGCGUUGUCCGGAAUUAUUGGGCGUAAAGCGCGCGCAGGCGGUUCUUUAAGUCUGAUGUGAGAGCCCACGGCUCAACCGUGGAGGGUCAUUGGAAACUGGAGAACUUGAGUACAGAAGAGGAAAGCGGAAUUCCACGUGUAGCGGUGAAGUGCGUAGAGAUGUGGAGGAACACCAGUGGCGAAGGCGGCUUUCUGGUCUGUAACUGACGCUGAGGCGCGAAAGCGUGGGGGAGCAAACAGGAUUAGAUACCCUGGUAGUCCACGCCGUAAACGAUGAGUGCUAAGUGUUAGGGGGUUUCCGCCCCUUAGUGCUGCAGCUAACGCAUUAAGCACUCCGCCUGGGAGUACGGCCGCAAGGCUG